Molecule: ribosomal RNA, 1001 nt
Filed under: Vibrio aestivus
Lineage: Bacteria; Pseudomonadati; Pseudomonadota; Gammaproteobacteria; Vibrionales; Vibrionaceae
Description: bacterial SSU rRNA
Rfam family: Bacterial small subunit ribosomal RNA
Source: RNAcentral
GGGGGGCGGCGGGCUACACAUGCAAGUCGAGCGGAACGACUUAACUGAACCUUCGGGGAACGUUAAGGGCGUCGAGCGGCGGACGGGUGAGUAAUGCCUAGGAAGUUGCCCAGUAGAGGGGGAUAACCAUUGGAAACGAUGGCUAAUACCGCAUAACCUCUUCGGAGCAAAGCAGGGGACCUUCGGGCCUUGCGCUAUUGGAUACGCCUAGGUGGGAUUAGCUAGUUGGUGAGGUAAGGGCUCACCAAGGCGACGAUCCCUAGCUGGUCUGAGAGGAUGAUCAGCCACACUGGAACUGAGACACGGUCCAGACUCCUACGGGAGGCAGCAGUGGGGAAUAUUGCACAAUGGGCGAAAGCCUGAUGCAGCCAUGCCGCGUGUGUGAAGAAGGCCUUCGGGUUGUAAAGCACUUUCAGCAGUGAGGAAGAUGGUAAGCUUAAUACGCUUAUCAUUUGACGUUAGCUGCAGAAGAAGCACCGGCUAACUCCGUGCCAGCAGCCGCGGUAAUACGGAGGGUGCGAGCGUUAAUCGGAAUUACUGGGCGUAAAGCGCAUGCAGGUGGUGAGUUAAGUCAGAUGUGAAAGCCCGGGGCUCAACCUCGGAAUUGCAUUUGAAACUGGCUCACUAGAGUACUGUAGAGGGGGGUAGAAUUUCAGGUGUAGCGGUGAAAUGCGUAGAGAUCUGAAGGAAUACCAGUGGCGAAGGCGGCCCCCUGGACAGAUACUGACACUCAGAUGCGAAAGCGUGGGGAGCAAACAGGAUUAGAUACCCUGGUAGUCCACGCCGUAAACGAUGUCUACUUGGAGGUUGUGGCCUUGAGCCGUGGCUUUCGGAGCUAACGCGUUAAGUAGACCGCCUGGGGAGUACGGUCGCAAGAUUAAAACUCAAAUGAAUUGACGGGGGCCCGCACAAGCGGUGGAGCAUGUGGUUUAAUUCGAUGCAACGCGAAGAACCUUACCUACUCUUGACAUCCAGAGAACUUAGCAGAGAUGCUUUGGUGC